UGGGCAACCUGCCCCUGACUCUGGGAUAACCCCCGGGAAACCGGAGCUAAUACCGGAUACUCUCGGCCGAUCACAUGGCUGGCCGAGGAAAGGUCCGGCGGUCAGGGAUGGGCUCGCGGCCUAUCAGCUUGUUGGCGAGGUAAUGGCUCACCAAGGCUUCGACGGGUAGCCGGCCUGAGAGGGCGACCGGCCACACUGGGACUGAGAUACGGUCCAGACUCCUACGGGAGGCA
RNAcentral lists this ribosomal RNA (233 nucleotides) under uncultured bacterium. RNAcentral's name for it is "partial 16S ribosomal RNA". It matches the Rfam family "Bacterial small subunit ribosomal RNA", at positions 118 to 350 of the family's 1533-position model. The record is from RNAcentral.